RNAcentral lists this ribosomal RNA (745 nucleotides) under uncultured bacterium. Its description in RNAcentral is "bacterial SSU rRNA". It matches the Rfam family "Bacterial small subunit ribosomal RNA", at positions 33 to 773 of the family's 1533-position model. The record is from RNAcentral.
ACGCUGGCGGCAGGCCUAACACAUGCAAGUCGAGCGGUAGAGAGAAGCUUGCUUCUCUUGAGAGCGGCGGACGGGUGAGUAAUGCCUAGGAAUCUGCCUGGUAGUGGGGGAUAACGUUCGGAAACGGACGCUAAUACCGCAUACGUCCUACGGGAGAAAGCAGGGGACCUUCGGGCCUUGCGCUAUCAGAUGAGCCUAGGUCGGAUUAGCUAGUUGGUGAGGUAAUGGCUCACCAAGGCGACGAUCCGUAACUGGUCUGAGAGGAUGAUCAGUCACACUGGAACUGAGACACGGUCCAGACUCCUACGGGAGGCAGCAGUGGGGAAUAUUGGACAAUGGGCGAAAGCCUGAUCCAGCCAUGCCGCGUGUGUGAAGAAGGUCUUCGGAUUGUAAAGCACUUUAAGUUGGGAGGAAGGGUUGUAGAUUAAUACUCUGCGAUUUUGACGUUACCGACAGAAUAAGCACCGGCUAACUCUGUGCCAGCAGCCGCGGUAAUACAGAGGGUGCAAGCGUUAAUCGGAAUUACUGGGCGUAAAGCGCGCGUAGGUGGUUUGUUAAGUUGGAUGUGAAAUCCCCGGGCUCAACCUGGGAACUCCAUUCAAAACUGACUGACUAGAGUAUGGUAGAGGGUGGUGGAAUUUCCUGUGUAGCGGUGAAAUGCGUAGAUAUAGGAAGGAACACCAGUGGCGAAGGCGACCACCUGGACUAAUACUGACACUGAGGUGCGAAAGCGUGGGGAGCAAAC